GCCAGGGUAGCUCAGUUGGUUAGAGCGCUACUUUUGUAAAGUAGAAGUCGUGGGUUCGAAUCCCUCCCCUGGCUCCA
Molecule: transfer RNA, 77 nt
Filed under: bacterium
Lineage: Bacteria
Description: tRNA-Thr
Rfam family: tRNA
About the family: Transfer RNA (tRNA) molecules are approximately 80 nucleotides in length. Their secondary structure includes four short double-helical elements and three loops (D, anti-codon, and T loops).
Source: RNAcentral